This is a small nucleolar RNA of Cynocephalus volans (Philippine flying lemur), 71 nucleotides long. RefSeq annotates it as small nucleolar RNA SNORD2. The transcript has a single exon. Lineage: Eukaryota; Metazoa; Chordata; Mammalia; Dermoptera; Cynocephalidae. The record is from RefSeq and is a predicted model, not a curated record.
UAGUUGAACACAGUUAGAAAAUCUGAUCAGGACUGACCUGAAAUGAAGAGAAUCUUCACUGCUGAUCACUU